CUACACAAACCUCAUUCUUCCUGUAUUCCCAAGGGAUAUUUUCCCCUACAUUGACCUGUAGGUUGGAAUGGUCAUAAGUUGACUAGUUCCGCGGGACAGGAUUAGCAUCAUCCUUAUCCGACAAGCCAUCAUCUAUGGCACCAUUGCCAUCUUUUCCUUCCCUCUCUACCUGCUCAACUAACCCAGGGUGUCUUCCCCCCUCAUCAGCCUCACCAUUUGGCUCACGGGUUGUAUCUUCAUCCUCUACAUCUCCUUCUCCUACCCCAUCUUCAUUAUUUUCUUUAUUUUGCCCAUUAGUACUCUCCACACCUUCCUCGGCUCUAACUUCAGUACCUCCCACUUUUUCUUGCAUAUGACUGUUACACCCAAUCUUCCGAAACAUUUCAACAAAUAACAUCAGCGGUAAACCGCGCGUAGUACAACCAUUUACAUAGGCCCUCCAGUUCUAAGUUCCUUCAAGCGGUAUCAACUUCCAAAAGUUUAUGUCAGGCCGUAACCUCACUACAACCCUAACAGACAGCUUAAAUAGCUAGUUGUAUAUUGAAGCCCAAGUUCUCUCUCGCUCUUGGUAAUUCUUUGCAGAACGACUGAAAUUCAGACAAAUCUACCCCUUCUGGACCAUAUCUAACCUCCCCCGACCAUAGAACACUUGGAAAAAUAAACUUUUCAACAUACUUGUCAAUAUACACGAUACGAAGAGAUAUUAUUACUAUCAUGUACUUAAUUUAACUAACUCCAACAACAUCUACAUUUCAACAUACGUGUCAAUAUACACGAUACGAAGAGAUAUUAUUACUAUCAUGUACUUAAUUUAACUAACUCCAACAACAUCUACAUUUCAACAUACGAUGGAAACAUCUAACUCGAGCAUUGCCAAUAAUAACAAUUUUAACAAAUUCAUUUUAUUUUACCCGAUCAAUAUACACGACAUUAACAGAGACCAUUACUAAAUAUUACUAAAUUUAACUAACCCUAAACACCCCUACAUUCCGAAAACAUAUAUAAAGAUAUGCACGACAUGAACAAAAAUUAUAACUAAAUGUGAUACUUUCAACUAACCCCUAAAAGACUUACAUUCUAAAUACCUAUACAAAAUAUAACUCUUGCACUGCGAAUAAUAUUCAUCUUAAAUUUAUCUUAAUAAAUCAACAAACUAAUUUUACUACAACAUAAAUACCUAAGCUAAAUCCAUUAUACCGACUAACCUAUAUUUUUCUACGUCUAAUAUCAAUACCUAGAUUUCAUCUACUAAUUAACACUACACCAUUUGUAUAGCUACUACAUCAACUACUACAUCUACCAACUAUAAGUUAAUCUAAACUAGGAGAUUAAUAAUAAUACCUCAAGCAAAGCGAAGAUCCGAGCUUCAAUCUCCACUCUACUCCCCUCCCCUCCUUUCCUCCCUCCCUCCCUUCCUUUCUUCCUCUUCUCUCCCCAUCAUUCCCUCCCUUCCUCUUCUCUCCCCGACGUUCCCUCCCUUCCUCCUCUCUCCCGAGCGCUCCCUCAGCUCCC
RNAcentral lists this long non-coding RNA (1512 nucleotides) under Setaria viridis. RNAcentral describes it as "long non-coding RNA (SVIR_LNC007771)". Lineage: Eukaryota; Viridiplantae; Streptophyta; Magnoliopsida; Poales; Poaceae. The record is from RNAcentral.